GAUCCUGGCUCAGAAUCAACGCUGGCGGCGUGCCUCAGACAUGCAAGUCGAACGAUUAAAGCUCCCUUCGGGGAGUGCAUAAAGUGGCGCACGGGUGAGUAACACGUAAGUAAUCUACCCUCGGGUGGGGAAUAACGUUCGGAAACGGACGCUAAUACCGCAUAAUGCAGCGGCACCGCAAGGUGACAGUUGUUAAAGAUUUAUUGCCUGGGGAGGAGCUUGCGGCAGAUUAGCUUGUUGGUAAGGUAACGGCUUACCAAGGCUACGAUCUGUAUCCGGUCUAAGAGGACGGUCGGACACACUGACACUGAAUAACGGGUCAGACUCCUACGGGAGGCAGCAG
Molecule: ribosomal RNA, 343 nt
Filed under: Acidobacteria bacterium enrichment culture clone C37_08_H15
Lineage: Bacteria; Pseudomonadati; Acidobacteriota
Description: bacterial SSU rRNA
Rfam family: Bacterial small subunit ribosomal RNA
Source: RNAcentral